GAUGAACGCUAGCUACAGGCUUAACACAUGCAAGUCGAGGGGCAGCAUGGUCUUAGCUUGCUAAGGCCGAUGGCGACCGGCGCACGGGUGAGUAACACGUAUCCAACCUGCCGUCUACUCUUGGACAGCCUUCUGAAAGGAAGAUUAAUACAAGAUGGCAUCAUGAGUCCGCAUGUUCACAUGAUUAAAGGUAUUCCGGUAGACGAUGGGGAUGCGUUCCAUUAGAUAGUAGGCGGGGUAACGGCCCACCUAGUCUUCGAUGGAUAGGGGUUCUGAGAGGAAGGUCCCCCACAUUGGAACUGAGACACGGUCCAAACUCCUACGGGAGGCAGCAGUGAGGAAUAUUGGUCAAUGGGCGAGAGCCUGAACCAGCCAAGUAGCGUGAAGGAUGACUGCCCUAUGGGUUGUAAACUUCUUUUAUAAAGGAAUAAAGUCGGGUAUGGAUACCCGUUUGCAUGUACUUUAUGAAUAAGGAUCGGCUAACUCCGUGCCAGCAGCCGCGGUAAUACGGAGGAUCCGAGCGUUAUCCGGAUUUAUUGGGUUUAAAGGGAGCGUAGAUGGAUGUUUAAGUCAGUUGUGAAAGUUUGCGGCUCAACCGUAAAAUUGCAGUUGAUACUGGAUAUCUUGAGUGCAGUUGAGGCAGGCGGAAUUCGUGGUGUAGCGGUGAAAUGCUUAGAUAUCACGAAGAACUCCGAUUGCGAAGGCAGCCUGCUAAGCUGCAACUGACAUUGAGGCUCGAAAGUGUGGGUAUCAAACAGGAUUAGAUACCCUGGUAGUCCACACGGUAAACGAUGAAUACUCGCUGUUUGCGAUAUACAGCAAGCGGCCAAGCGAAAGCGUUAAGUAUUCCACCUGGGGAGUACGCCGGCAACGGUGAAACUCAAAGGAAUUGACGGGGGCCCGCACAGGCGGAGGAACAUGUGGUUUAAUUCGAUGAUACGCGAGGAACCUUACCCGGGCUUAAAUUGCAGAUGAAUUACGGUGAAAGCCGUAAGCCGCAAGGCAUCUGUGAAGGUGCUGCAUGGUUGUCGUCAGCUCGUGCCGUGAGGUGUCGGCUUAAGUGCCAUAACGAGCGCAACCCUUGUUGUCAGUUACUAACAGGUUCUGCUGAGGACUCUGACAAGACUGCCAUCGUAAGAUGUGAGGAAGGUGGGGAUGACGUCAAAUCGGCACGGCCCUUACGUCCGGGGCUACACACGUGUUACAAUGGGGGGUACAGAGGGCCGCUACCACGCGAGUGGAUGCCAAUCCCCAAAACCUCUCUCAGUUCGGACUGGAGUCUGCAACCCGACUCCACGAAGCUGGAUUCGCUAGUAAUCGCGCAUCAGCCACGGCGCGGUGAAUACGUUCCCGGGCCUUGUACACACCGCCCGUCAAGCCAUGGGAGCCGGGGUACCUGAAGUGCGUAACCGCGAGGAGCGCCCUAGGGUAAAACUGGUGACUGGGGCUAAGUCAUAACA
Molecule: ribosomal RNA, 1460 nt
Filed under: uncultured organism
Description: SSU rRNA
Rfam family: Bacterial small subunit ribosomal RNA
Source: RNAcentral